This is a small nuclear RNA of Fukomys damarensis (Damara mole-rat), 126 nucleotides long. The record is from Ensembl. Lineage: Eukaryota; Metazoa; Chordata; Mammalia; Rodentia; Bathyergidae.
AUAUUGCAUGAAAGGAGAGAAGGUUAGCACUUCCCUUAACAAGGAUGGAAGAGGCUCUCAGGUCUGACAACCCAUUUACAGCUAAGGCAUUGCCAUUUACUUGUUGGCAUCUAAGCACUGUCUUUC